GAAGGAGCACGUCUUCUAUUCUUAGUCUUAGGGGUUGCUUAAUGAUAUGAUUGGGUAUUAUUCGUUCGUUCUCUAGAAAAUAGGAAAUCUUUCUAUCUAUCUAACUUAUCGAAUUUCUACUUAAAAAAGUUUUUUUUUUCUUUUAAAGAAAUAUUUUAGAAAAAAGAAAGAAGAUUCUAAAAAGGUCAAAAAUCUGAAUAAGAAUGAAUGAAAAAUGAAUCUAAAUUACAGGGGUGGA
This 238-nucleotide transfer RNA is filed under the name Ruellia repens. Its description in RNAcentral is "partial tRNA-His". Lineage: Eukaryota; Viridiplantae; Streptophyta; Magnoliopsida; Lamiales; Acanthaceae. The record is from RNAcentral.